Molecule: ribosomal RNA, 1457 nt
Filed under: metagenome
Description: bacterial SSU rRNA
Rfam family: Bacterial small subunit ribosomal RNA
Source: RNAcentral
UAAUGGGGAUCUUCGGAUCCUGAUUAAAGUGGCGCACGGGUGAGUAACACGUAGGCAACCUGCCCCCGGAAAUGGGACAACAGUUCGAAAGGACUGCUAAUACCGUAUAAGACCACGGUUUCUACGGAGACAGUGGGAAAAGAUGGCCUCUACUUGUAAGCUGUCAUCUGGGGAUGGGCCUGCGGCCUAUUAGCUUGUUGGUGGGGUAAUGGCCUACCAAGGCGAAGAUGGGUAGCUGGUCUGAGAGGACGAUCAGCCACACUGGAACUGAGACACGGUCCAGACUCCUACGGGAGGCAGCAGUGGGGAAUAUUGCGCAAUGGGCGAAAGCCUGACGCAGCAACGCCGCGUGUGUGAUGACGCCCUUCGGGGUGUAAAGCACUGUUGUAGGGGAAGAAAUCAUAUUCGGUCAAUACCCGUAUAUGUUGACGGUACCCUGCGAGGAAGCACCGGCUAACUCUGUGCCAGCAGCCGCGGUAAGACAGAGGGUGCAAGCGUUGUUCGGAAUCACUGGGCGUAAAGAGUUCGUAGGCGGCUUAGCAGGUCGGGUGUGAAAUCCCUCGGCUUAACCGAGGAAUUGCAUUCGAAACCGCUUGGCUUGGAUACCGGAGAGAGUAGCGGAAUUCCUGGUGUAGGGGUGAAAUCCGUAGAUAUCAGGAGGAACACCGGUGGCGAAGGCGGCUACUUGGACGGAUAUUGACGCUGAGGAACGAAAGCGUGGGUAGCAGACAGGAUUAGAUACCCUGGUAGUCCACGCCGUAAACGAUGAGCACUAGGUGUCGAGGGAGUUGACCCCCACGGUGCCGUAGCUAACGCAUUAAGUGCUCCGCCUGGGGAGUACGACCGCAAGGUUAAAACUCAAAGGAAUUGACGGGGUCCCGCACAAGCGGUGGAGUAUGUGGUUUAAUUCGAUGCAACGCGAAAAACCUUACCUGGGUUUAACAUCCUUGGAAUUCUCUGGAAACAGGGAAGUGCCCUUCGGGGAGCCGAGUGAUAGGUGCUGCAUGGCUGUCGUCAGCUCGUGUCGUGAGAUGUUGGUUAAGUCCCGCAACGAGCGCAACCCCUGCCCCUAAUUGCCAUCAGAUAAUGCUGGGAACCUUAGUGGGACUGCCGAAGUCAAGUCGGAGGAAGGUGGGGAUGACGUCAAGUCCUCAUGGCCUUUAUAUCCAGGGCUACACACGUACUACAAUGGCCGAUACAAAGGGUUGCGAACCCGCGAGGGUAAGCUAAUCUCAAAAAAACGGCCUCAGUUCAGAUUGGAGUCUGCAACUCGACUCCAUGAAGGAGGAAUCGCUAGUAAUCGCGGAUCAGCAUGCCGCGGUGAAUACGUUCCCGGGACUUGUACACACCGCCCGUCACACCACGAAAGCUGUUUGCACUAGAAGCCGGUGAGCUAACCUUCGGGAGGCAGCCGUCCACGGUGUGAAUGGUGAUUGGGGUGAAGUCGUAACAAGGUA